RNAcentral lists this long non-coding RNA (357 nucleotides) under Equus asinus (donkey). RNAcentral describes it as "lncRNA (ENSEASG00005032979.1)". Lineage: Eukaryota; Metazoa; Chordata; Mammalia; Perissodactyla; Equidae. The record is from RNAcentral.
GGGCCUGUUGCGACGGAUACUUUCCGCAGGCUCCGGGAUAACGGCACCCAGUGGGCGGGCACUCAAGCAGAAGGGGCGGGGCCUAUUGAGGGGACCAGCGAGAGCCGUAGACCCAGGGAGAUCAACGCAGAAACAACGAGAACUAAGCAGAGAGGGUGACUAGAGGAUCAUCUACCCUGACGAGGAGCAAUGGAGGUGAGGAUGCGCGGAGAGAAGGACACCACUGAGACACAAGAGGGCGCCCGUCGCCCUGAAUCCAGCCUGGAAUUGUUCCAUGGUUUCCCUUAGCCUUUGUCUGAUUAAAGCCUGGCAAUUUACAGAGGAGGAAAACUAAGGCCCCACGAGGCCAAGUACCCC